CAGAACUGUGCCCGUCAUGGUUCCCUGGAGCGGCAUUAUCCGUCCCAGGGCUAAGAGGGAAUCCGGUGCGUCGAUCCGUCGGCAAUGCCGGGGCUGCCCCCGCAACUGUAAACGGCGAGCCGCUGUCCACCGAUGUCACUGAGGCCAAGGCCUUGGGAAGACGGACAGGGUGACGACCCGUGAGCCAGGAGACCUGCCAAGACGAAAUAACGUCC
RNAcentral lists this non-coding RNA (215 nucleotides) under Shinella sp. The record is from RNAcentral. Lineage: Bacteria; Pseudomonadati; Pseudomonadota; Alphaproteobacteria; Hyphomicrobiales; Rhizobiaceae.